This 373-nucleotide ribosomal RNA is filed under the name uncultured bacterium. RNAcentral's name for it is "bacterial SSU rRNA". It matches the Rfam family "Bacterial small subunit ribosomal RNA", at positions 523 to 898 of the family's 1533-position model. The record is from RNAcentral.
ACACGUAGGGGGCGAGCGUUGUUCGGAAUUACUGGGCGUAAAGGGCAUGUAGGCGGCUCUGUAAGUCCGGCGUGGAAGCCUGCAGCUUAACUACAGGAUUGCGCUGGAAACUGUGGGGCUUGAAUCAUGGAGAGGGAGCUAGAAUUCCAGGUGUAGGGGUGAAAUCUGUAGAGAUUUGGAAGAAUACCAGUGGCGAAGGCGAGCGCCUGGCCAAUGAUUGACGCUGAGGUGCGAAAGUGUGGGGAUCAAACAGGAUUAGAUACCCUGGUAGUCCACACUGUAAACGAUGCACACUAGGUGCUGGGGCGGAUGCUUCAGUGCCGGAGCUAACGUGGUAAGUGUGCCGCCUGGGGAGUAUGCUCGCAAGGGUGAA